AUAGAUGAAACCAAGUCUCAGGGAGGGUAAACACAUUCCCAGAGUCACACAACUUACGCAGAGACGGGCUUUAGAUUUCAGAUCGUGCCCUUAAAGACUAUGUCAUCCUGCAAGAAUUCCGUGGACACAUAGUUACAGGAAAAGAUUCAACAAAAGUCAAGGUGGCAGGUGGAAUUAGCAAGCACCCAGUGCCAGACAGAGCUGCUGGCCCUCAGGGUUCAGAGUUUAGUUCUAAAUUUAGCCUCUGACCUUCUUGUGGGUUCUAAAUUUGGCCAAACAAGUUCUUCCAGCCUGAUCGAUGACGUGGGUGCAUUGUUUUGAAGAUCAAACCUUUUUCCUGGUUAUGAAAGUAAUAAAGUAAUGCAGAAUUUGUUUGGAGAAGCAGCCCAGCUGCCUGUCAACAGCCAUCUGAGAAUAAUCCUGGGCUUACUGACGGUGGACACACGUAGUUACUGACUGAUUUCUUAGGAACAGGGAUUAAAACCAUUUCCUGAACCAAGUCUGAGUUUCUCCUCCUGAGUGAACCAGAAACAGAGCCUCAAGAAAUAGCUAGGACUAACCAGACUCAACCUUAAAAUUGUCCUAAAAUUACUAAUUAGAGCAAAAAAGGACUCUUAAGAUAGUCUUCAGUCCAGGGGGGAAUUGCAGAGUUCUGGGGACUCCUGAGACUCAGUCUCUGGGAAGGCAUCCGGGUGGCUUGACUGGUCCAUGACCACUUAUCAGAUGUCCUGCCUCCACUGGGUUGGAGCAAGCAUGUGACCUUUGUGGUCUGGCCACUAAUGACUGAACAAACAUUGGACCCUGGACCCAGGGGAGACCAUCAACUCUGCUGGCCAGAAACAUACAACUGCUGGUGCUUGGCCUGAAAGGAUGAGCUUGGACAUCCGAUUCCCUCUCUCAGGAAUACACAUGAAGAAACACAGAACAUCUCAGCUGGUGCAAAUACUUGAGCUGAAGGGUCAUGGAUAUUUGGAGCUUGAAUGACCAUGCACACAGAUGUAUAUGGAAGAGGGAUAGGUGGCAAUCUGGAUCCCCAGGAUAGUGUUGAGCAGCUGGAUCAAACUUGACCUGAAAUCCACCCUACCACUGGACUUUUCCAUUACAUGGAUCAACAACUCUUCAAAUUCGUUUUAUUAGGUUUUCUGGGGUUUGGUGUUUGUCUGUUUUGUUUAACCAAAAGGAAUGUCUCUAGAACCUUCUAAGACAUCCACUUUUUACUUGGAAUUGUUAGAGUAGAUUUAUGAUCCAUAGAACCCAAGCACACCACACCACAGCAGGCAGAAGCCCUUUGGGAUAGUUAGGAUUCAAAGCCAUGUCCCUGUAUGUCCCAAGUGACAAGUUCUUUUCUGGUCUGAAGCACUCGGAAGGAGGGGUGAGGAGGUCAGGUCUUGGCUGCAGAACGCGCUGUCCUCAUAACAACCCCCUCUCAGCCUCAGAACUGCUCUUAUCAGGAUCUCUCUGGAGAUCCUGGACAAAGGGUGAAGCCAGGAACUCCUGAGGCUGAAGGGCAGGUCGGGGCCUGGGAGAGAAGGGGUAGAAAUAUGUCUUCCGUUUCCCUUGGGCCCCGCAGCACAGCUGUUGUCCACAGUGAGUUUAGCCAACACUAGGGACAAAUAGCAUUCACUCAGCAGGCUCGGGGCACUCCUGGGGGAAAACCAGUUCUCACCCAGGCAGAGAGGCUUAGCAGUGAGUGACAGUUCUGGGAUGGGAACCUGCAUCUAAUGGGCUCCAGGUGCGGUGCCUCUUCCAAAACACCGAGCGAAGCUCCGCCAACUGCAGGCCUUUUGCUCUGGCCACAUCUGCCCUCACACUUCCCUUCCAGAUGGUUCUGCAGAGGCUCCAAGGAGCUGAUGGCUGAUGAGGAAAAGGAUUAGCCGCAAACUUGACUCUCCCUCCAGCCUCUGCCAGACCCACCAGAGGCGUGGGUGUGUCCAGCCUACCUGGGAACAUCUGCUGUUGUCAUCGGUCGGGGCCGACUUGAUUAGGGCCAGACCCCCUGAGGAUGCCGAAAGCCAAAACAUAUUAAAAGUAAAUUUCCAAAGGAAAUAAAGAAGCAAUAACAAUUGGCCACAUCUGUGAAACUGGGUGCUCGUUAAGUGCCAGGUCCCAGGACCAGGGUGAGCCCAGGUGGUAGACGUCAUAGGUGCUGCCGUCAUCACUGCAAUCCCACCCCCCUCCCAGGAGGUGGGGAGGGAAUCUGUUGUAGGCAGCGAAGCACAGCACCCUUAGGUGUUUCUCUGUCCAUGGGUGGGAGGACAGCACCCUCCUGUCAGAUGCUCCAUCACUGCCCUGCCACCCUUUGGUUCCUACCAGUUCUCGUGGGCCCCCCGGGGAGUCAGUGUACUGGGACCCGGAUUACGGAUUCAAGUCCUGGGCCCACUGCUCAUGGCCGUGGGACUUGGGGUGAGUCAGUUCUCCUUCCUGAGCCUCAGUUGUCUCACCUGCACAAUAUGGGGGGGAGCUGCACCUCUCUGUGGGCCGUAAGUUUAACUAAGGGGGUCACCAGGGGUAUUCUCUUGUUAUUGGUGAUGUUUUCCCAAGUGCAUGCUCUGUGCUUUCUGGGAACAACCGCAGGCUCCUCUGAGCCCACCAGCACCUUGCACACCGCCGCCGGGGGCAACAGACUUAAUGGCCUCCCCAGGGCACACGUACUCUGUCCUGUUCCUCUUCACAGCGUCAGCCAGCCCACAGGGCGCAGCCAGGUCAGAACCUGGGCCAGGCAGGCCUGACUUGGAGCCAAGAUCGGCCCUCACUGGAGGUGACUGUGGGCAGCCUGGCUCCCUCCCGCCAAGCCCCUGGUUCAGCGUCUAUUCGGAAGGAAAAAUUCCUCGUGAAUGUGAGUUAAAGUAGCGCAUGCAAAGCUCUUGGCUUUGUGAGAGGCAGGUGGCGUGCUCGAUGUCAACCCCCUGAAAUUGCUCAGUUCCGACCCCGCACAUCACAGUCGGGCCCCCCACCCCCAGUACCUACAGCCAAAGAAGUGGCUGGUUGUUUGGCACGCUUUCUUCCUCCAUUUGGACAAGGCUGAGCUGGGAGAAUAAGAGCUGUGUCAGGACUUACUCUGCAUUUUUCUCCUUCCCUCUGGGACAGCCCUGACCCCCGGCCCCAGGAGGAAACCACUUCAGCAUCACCGCCCAUUGAGAAUGUGUGUCUAGUGGGACAUAUCACCGGGCUUUAUCGUAUUUAAGGUUCACUGCGAAGACUGAAUAAAUGAAGGAAGGAAGGAAGGAAGGAAGGAAGGAAUGGGACCCCAGCUAGGGCAGUGGAAAGACCACAGCAUCGGGGGAUGAAGCCAUCAAGAGCACUCGCUGAGCAGCUGUUGACAAGCCCCCCGUGAAGACUCCUAAAGUGUUCCCAGAUGUCGCGGAUGAUGUGUGUCUCUGACACGCACGACAGAGGGCCGGGGGCACACCGGCUUCCUCCCCACAGGAGCCCUGGGCCAGAGUCCCGGGCAGAGCAGCUUCACAUUUGCCUCAAUAAAGACAAGGUAGCUUUCCGCCCCCACUUUUCUGGCCUCUCUCGGGGAGAUGUGUCUGCAGGGAGGUGUGCCCGGGGGUGAGCCGCUUAGAUGGCCGGGACUCUGGGACACAAAAUUCGGAGACCCCAAGCUCUUGGGUGGGAUUGGAGGGUCUUGAAACCUUGCCAGCUUUAGAGUCAGAAAGAAAAGCGUCUGAAGCCCACCUUUGCUGUUUACCAGCUGUGUGACCUGGGUCCAGUUGGCUCACCUCUCUGGGUCUCAGAAAUAAUCAGAGAAACUCUUCACAAGGCUGCGGAGAGGGCCAGAUGGGGGAGGGAAUAAACGAAGCUCAGAGAAGCGCCUGGCAUGUGGCAUGCGCUGCUUCGGUAGGUGAUGAAAGGAGAAUUAAUAAUGGCACAUAUUUAUUAGGGCUUGUCGUGAAUCGAACAGUGUCCCCACCCCAAAUUCAUGUCUACCUGGAGACUUAGAAUGUGACCUUAUCUGGAUAAAGUCUUUGGAGAUGUGAUUAGUUAAGAGGAGGCUGUACUGGAUGAGGGUGGCAUCCAGGGACUGCCAGGCGAGGGCGAUGAAUAUCUGCCCCUUUAUUUUUUUCUCUCCUGCAGGGCAGGUCCCACAGCAGACUGGGCAGGGACCAGGGGGCCCUGUGGCCCAUCAGACCCCUUCGGACAAUUCCGAAGAUCAUUCCUGGACUCAGCCGACCUGGAUUUCCUACAAUCGCUGCUGCCGAGCACUUGGGUGCAGAGGCAAGGAGCAAAACCACACUUAGAACACAGCCCAGCAGCAAAGCUCCCUCCCCGGGUCAGGAGUGUUUGACCACCAGGAAAUAAGAACAGUUCAUCUAAGUUUCUUCACCCUUUGUCCCAAGAUGCAAAAAUGUCAGAAAUGUGCACGGCUCUGGCCGCGGAGGGACACUGUCUUGACCCCUCAUCCAUUUCCUGCCUGGGGGCUGAGGGUCGGUGAAGACCACUGCCCUGAGGGUCAGGAGCAGUGGGUGGGCCCCUGCUGGGCUGGGCGCUGGCUGCACAGCUCAGGGUGAGGCCCUCCCCUCUCUGGGCCCAGUUUUCUUGUCUAUAAAAUGGGGGCAGUGGAGUUCCCAUUGAGGCUCAGUGGGAAUGAGCCCGAUUAGUAUCCAGGAGGAUGUGGGUUCGAUCCCUGGCCUCCCUCAGUGGGUUAAGGAUCGAGCAGUGCCAUGAGCUGUGGUGUAGGUCGCAGACAUGGCUUGGAUCUGGUGUGGCUGUGGUGGAGGCUGGUAGCUGUAGCUCUAAUUCGACCCCUGGCCUAGGAACCUCCACAUGCCUCAGGUGUGGCCCUAAAAAGCAAAAAUAUUAAUAAUAAUAAUAAGGGUGGGGGGUGGUAAUGCCUCUUCCAGCAUCUGGCGGAGUUAAAUGCUGGCAGAUGGCACAACCGCAACUGAAGUCAUCCUGGGUUGUUUUCCUCUAUCCUAAGGGGUCAACAACAUGAGAAUGGGCCCCCCCAGCAAUGCCUCCCUCAGCCUGCUUUAUAACAAGCCGGCUUGGCCCUGCUUGUCAAUCCAUUUGACUCUCUAAAUACCAACAUGACCCUGAUUCUUGGAGGAUA
This is a non-coding RNA of Sus scrofa (pig), 5053 nucleotides long. The record is from RefSeq and is a predicted model, not a curated record. NCBI's taxonomy places the organism in Eukaryota, Metazoa, Chordata, Mammalia, Artiodactyla, Suidae.